CCUGGGGUUGUUUAGUCUGGAGAAGAGAAGGCUCAGGGGAGAACUUAUUACUCUCGGUAGGACAUGAGAGUGAGGAGAGAUUAUAUAUUUCAUCUGGGAAUACAAAGAGUCUAUGGCAAGACAAAAAUGAAUGAUGGUCUCCCAGAUAUAGCUGAACAGUCAGCAAAAGAUGCAUCUCAGGCCCAGUUAAGUCCUUAAUGUGAAUUUGUGAAAUGUCAAUGUGCAUCAUUCAUCUGUGUGUUACUCCUGAAGAGCAUUUGUUUGUUCCUUUGCUACUUAUAAAGACUUUUCUCUUCUUUUGUAGUGUUGGCCCCAGCACUUCACUGAUGAAUGAAGACUCCUGGCUCGUAUUUCUUUCUAGGUCUAAUGAUAAAGACCCAAUUCUGUUAGAUCUUUUCACUCUGUCUUCUAAAAAACAAGUAAACACUUAACUCAGCUGAAUUGCAACUUAACAGCUGACUGCGCAGGCCCAUGCAAAUCAAAAUGAAAUCUUAAAAAUGCAGAUGGAGUCAUCAGAGUGCUAAUUAGUAAUUUGGCUGCUGCCUCUCCACUCUAGAUCUUCACUUUAAUUGCAAAACAGGGGGAAGGAAGUAUCUUAGGGUCAUACUCCACCUGGCCUUCCCAGGGGAGUGAGCAUGAAGCACUCUUUUUGUACUUGGAUAGGAUCUGUGCUGCCUCCAGGAAAGCAGUACAAAGGCUCUGUCUCCAGGAAGGAAAUACCUGCCUGAAGUUCCCAGCUCAUAGCAUGUCAGCAGUGAUCACUAUGGCAGAAAGACAUGCAAACACCUUCAUCUCGCUGUCAUCAACAAAAGCAAAGGUACAAAGGCUACCAUGCACCCACCUCUCCAUGUGACCCCUCUAGCCAACAGAACAGCCCACUCCUCAAUGAAAGAGGAUAGUUUUACCUUUUCAAAAAGCAUCCAUGCCCACACAGCCUCUGCAUCCUGGCAUCUUAUGUGAAGAAAUAUUCUGCAUUCAUGAGGCAAGUUUUCCUUGAACUGGCACGACUCCAUCUGCCAUCACCGUUGCAGUCCUCUUCACCAUCAGGGACAGGAGCUGCUAUCAUCUUUAGUAUCUUUGCAAACAUUCCUUUUUCCUUGUGAAAGAAAAGCUUAAUAGUGCUUUGGAAAAAAACAACUGUGCUAUUUGAUUACACUUUUUGGAUUACACCUCCUUUUUGUGUUAAAGCUCUGUCUUAAUUGCUACAUAACCAUCAUUCCAGCUUUAUGCCCACCUGUAAAAAACUUACAAAGUUUUUUAAGGGAGUUAAUAAAGGCACUUUCAAUUUUUUAUUA
Long non-coding RNA from Strigops habroptila (Kakapo), 1295 nucleotides. RefSeq lists it as uncharacterized. The transcript has 2 exons. NCBI's taxonomy places the organism in Eukaryota, Metazoa, Chordata, Aves, Psittaciformes, Psittacidae. The record is from RefSeq and is a predicted model, not a curated record.